UCUUUAUAUGUUUAUUUAUUUUCUCUUCAUGUACUAGGCCCAAGAGCUGGGCACAGACAUUGUUCUAACAGCUGGAUGCUGCCUCAAACUGGACUUCGUGUAUUCAUCUGUAGCUCUCUGCUGCUCUCUGCUGUCCAGCAAACCUUUGCACCUCGCUCUGAAAAAUAAUCCACAGAAAUCUAAGAAGCUUAGAUCACUGAAGAGCAAGUUAAUCAUCCCACAAUACAGGCAGAAGUGUGUCGAUUUUCUCCACGUUAAUAUACAUAUCUCUCGGGGACUGUGGAAGCAUCUAAGGAACAGAAAGCUCAACGCUGUUUGAAUAAGAAUAUGUGCUGACUGGCUCAGGAAGAGAGGAAGGGAUCACUGAAAUAAUUGUUCCACCUUUUCUGUCUUUUCCCACAGCAAGAAAUCUAAGGGGAGAAGAUUUACGGUCUGGAUAUCCACCAGUCAACAGUCCUGAAUAGUCUUUUCCUACACUCUGGCAACCAGAAACAAUUCCAUGACAGAAUCACAGAAUCACAGGACGGCCAAGGUUGGAAGGGACCUCUGGAGAUCAUCUAGUCCAAGCCCCCUGCUCAAGCAGGGUCAUCUGGAGCACAUUGCACAGGAUCAUGUCCAGGUGGAUUUUGAAUAUCUCCAGGGAAGGAGACUCCACAACCUGUCUGACAUUCAUAGCAGUACUCCCUUGUCCUCUACAUCACUGCAAGAAUCCCAGCCAGACCACCCGGACACGCGUGUCUUGGUGCCUAAAUGCUGGACAGACUAUUGGACACACAUGUCUUGGUGACUGAGUGUAUAGGUAUGAGAAUGUGACUGAAUCAAACUGGUUUUGUUUCAAAAUAAGAUCACUCUCCUCUCCUAUAAGGUCUUGCAUUGAGUUUUGCUACAACGCUACAAAGUUAUUUCUGAUAAGAGAACAUUAGGGAAAGGCCUUUAUGUUUAAUCUCUGAAUACGCAUUUAUGAUUUUACAAUAUUACACUGUUAUCCUAAAUGUCACAGAUAAUUAGUCUGAAUUAAAAAUAAUUCAAUCACAGGAAGGAAAGAAGUCAUAAAUUGCUGGGAAAGGGAUCAUUUUUGUAUUAAAACUGAAAGGGUAAAGCUGAGUUUUCAGGAAAGGUUACAAUUUUGCUGUCAAAACUUCUCUGACUUUGGAGAAUAAUUAAUUCUACAAACCAUGGGCCAGAGUCUGCUCUGACUUUGGUGAUCUAAAGUUAAUGGAAAACGAAGUACUGCUGUAGUAACAGCAGGUGGAAUUAUA
This 1259-nucleotide long non-coding RNA is filed under the name Struthio camelus australis. RNAcentral describes it as "lncRNA (ENSSCUG00000007649.1)". The record is from RNAcentral. Lineage: Eukaryota; Metazoa; Chordata; Aves; Struthioniformes; Struthionidae.